Molecule: long non-coding RNA, 573 nt
Filed under: Macaca fascicularis (crab-eating macaque)
Lineage: Eukaryota; Metazoa; Chordata; Mammalia; Primates; Cercopithecidae
Description: lncRNA (ENSMFAG00000062442.1)
Source: RNAcentral
GCCAGACUUGCAAGUCCUAGCAGGAGGAGCCUUUCCUUUCAGGAUAUUUGCCAAGCAUUCUUGUCUCACUGAAUUGUCUUGCUGCCUGUCACUACAUCACCCAGCUAUUUACCCUAUUUCGUAUAUACUAUGUGGUACCUCCUGCCAAGCCUUCUCCAUUUCAGUAAUUUUUACAGGCAAGACCACCAGUGAGGAAAUGGGACCAGCAAUGAACUCCAGGAAACCAAUAUUUCAGGAACACAUGGAAGAAAGGGAGUCAACAACAGCGAAGCUCGAAACAAUGUCGAGAGAGACUGAGAGAGAGAGAGAGAGAAAUAAAAUAACUGAGUUGUAAGAAGAGAAUGUCCAGGUAGGGACAAGGGAGAGGUGAAACAUGGGGAGUGGCGGGGGGAGAUUAGGUAACUGGGCAUUAUCCCUCUAGCCCAGGGUGGAUUGAGGGAUGGGGGGAGAAGGCUGUGCAACGCCAUACACUCCUAGAAAAAGAGAGGUGGGACAUUUCACCUGGAGAAAGACAUUUGUUGUUUAGUUUAUGACACAGGUGGAAUCAUCAUUAAUCCCUGGGACAGAGAACCA